RNAcentral lists this ribosomal RNA (402 nucleotides) under uncultured bacterium. Its description in RNAcentral is "bacterial SSU rRNA". It matches the Rfam family "Bacterial small subunit ribosomal RNA", at positions 355 to 774 of the family's 1533-position model. The record is from RNAcentral.
UGGGGAAUCUUGCACAAUGGGGGAAACCCUGAUGCAGCGACGCCGCGUGAGCGAUGAAGCCCUUCGGGGUGUAAAGCUCUUUCGGGAAGGACGAAAGUGACGGUACCUGCAGAAGCAGCCGCGGCUAACUACGUGCCAGCAGCCGCGGUAAUACGUAGGCAGCGAGCGUUGUUCGGAGUUACUGGGCGUAAAGGGUGUGUAGGCGGGAUAGCAAGUCAGACGUGAAAUACCGAGGCUUAACUUCGGGGCUGCGUUUGAAACUGUUAUUCUUGAGUGAAGUAGAGGCAGGCGGAAUUCCUAGUGUAGCGGUGAAAUGCGUAGAUAUUAGGAGGAACACCAGUGGCGAAGGCGGCCUGCUGAGCUUUAACUGACGCUGAGGCACGAAAGCAUGGGGAGCAAACA